RNAcentral lists this ribosomal RNA (252 nucleotides) under uncultured bacterium. RNAcentral describes it as "partial 16S ribosomal RNA". It matches the Rfam family "Bacterial small subunit ribosomal RNA", at positions 524 to 776 of the family's 1533-position model. The record is from RNAcentral.
UACGUAGGGCGCAAGCGUUAUCCGGAAUUAUUGGGCGUAAAGAGCUCGUAGGCGGUUGUCGCGUCUGCCGUGAAAGUCCGGGGCUCAACUCCGGAUCUGCGGUGGGUACGGGCAGACUAGAGUGAUGUAGGGGAGACUGGAAUUCCUGGUGUAGCGGUGAAAUGCGCAGAUAUCAGGAGGAACACCGAUGGCGAAGGCAGGUCUCUGGGCAUUAACUGACGCUGAGGAGCGAAAGCAUGGGGAGCGAACAGG